GUACGGGAGGCAGCAGUGGGGAAUCUUGCGCAAUGGCCGAAAGGCUGACGCAGCGACGCCGCGUGUGGGAGGACGCCCUUCGGGGUGUAAACCACUGUUGCCCGGGACGAACAUCUGGUUUCGACCAGACUGACGGUACCGGGUGAGGAAGCACCGGCUAACUCCGUGCCAGCAGCCGCGGUAAUACGGAGGGUGCGAGCGUUGUCCGGAAUCACUGGGCGUAAAGGGCGCGUAGGCGGCGCGGAUAGUCGGCGGUGAAAGCCCGGAGCUCAACUCCGGGUCGGCCGUCGAUACUUCCGGGCUUGAGCACUGUAGAGGCAGAUGGAAUUCCGGGUGUAGCGGUGGAAUGCGUAGAGAUCCGGAAGAACACCGGUGGCGAAGGCGGUCUGCUGGGCAGUUGCUGACGCUGAUGCGCGACAGCGUGGGGAGCAAACAGGAUUAGAUACCCCGGUAGC
Molecule: ribosomal RNA, 455 nt
Filed under: uncultured bacterium
Lineage: Bacteria
Description: bacterial SSU rRNA
Rfam family: Bacterial small subunit ribosomal RNA
Source: RNAcentral